RNAcentral lists this non-coding RNA (95 nucleotides) under Vigna radiata var. radiata (mung bean). The record is from RNAcentral. Lineage: Eukaryota; Viridiplantae; Streptophyta; Magnoliopsida; Fabales; Fabaceae.
GCCGAGCUAGGUAGCGCUAGCUUGUAACCCUAGCCGGAGCAUUAAGGUGAUGGAAUUUGCACUGGAUGACCCAUUGCUGUUAUCCCAUCAACUAU